RNAcentral lists this long non-coding RNA (564 nucleotides) under Mytilus galloprovincialis (Mediterranean mussel). The record is from RNAcentral. Lineage: Eukaryota; Metazoa; Mollusca; Bivalvia; Mytilida; Mytilidae.
GAAAGAUAACUCCAAUCAAUUGAAAAUUUCUUGCUAUUGCACAAUAUUGUGCAAUUAGAUAUUUCUGGCUAUUGCGCAAUACUGUGCAAUUGAAAAUAUUUGCUAUUGCACAAUACUGUGCAAUUGAAGAUUUCUUGCUAUUGCUGAAUACUGUGCAAUUGAAAAUUUCUUGCUAUUGCACAAUACUUAAUAUAAUAAUUUUGGAUCCUGAUUUGAACCAACUUGAAAACUGGGCCCAUAAACAAAAAUCUAAGUACAUGUUUAGAUUCAGCAUAUCAAAAAAGCCCUAGAAUUCAAUUUUUGUUAAAAUCAAAUUUAGUUUAAUUUUGGACCCUUUGGACCUUAAUGUAGAUCAAUUUGAAAAUGGGACCAAAAAUUAAGAAUCCACAUACACAGUUAGAUUUAGCAUAUCAAAGAACCCCAAUUAUUCAAUUUUUGAUGAAAUCAAACAAAGUUCAAUAUUGGAUUCUUUGGGUCCCUUAUUCCUAAACUGUUGUGACCAAAACUCCCAAAAUCAAACCCAACCUUCCUUUUAUGGUCAUAAACCUUGUGUUUAAAUUUCAU